Molecule: unclassified non-coding RNA, 211 nt
Filed under: Hevea brasiliensis (rubber tree)
Lineage: Eukaryota; Viridiplantae; Streptophyta; Magnoliopsida; Malpighiales; Euphorbiaceae
Source: RNAcentral
AAUUUCUUAUCUCUCCUGAAUCUUCUAUUAUCAAAAACUUAUUCUGACUGGGUCAUCUACUGAUGACUGCCAGCAGUGGUAUUCUCAUCCUUAUCUAGAACAACUGUACUUUCAAGACUCGCCUUUAUGUACUCGUGCCUUGCACAAAAUAGGCACACCAUUUAAACCCAUACCGACAAAAAUAUAGUAUUUCUUGGAGUACGUAUCCUCA